GUGAACGCUGGCGGUAGGCCUAACACAUGCCAGUCGAACGGCAGCACCGUAAGAGCUUGCUCUUACGGGUGGCGAGUGGCGGACGGGUGAGGAAUACAUCGGAAUCUACUUUUUCGUGGGGGAUAACGUAGGGAAACUUACGCUAAUACCGCAUACGACCUACGGGUGAAAGCAGGGGAUCUUCGGACCUUGCGCGAUUGAAUGAGCCGAUGUCGGAUUAGCUAGUUGGCGGGGUAAAGGCCCACCAAGGCGACGAUCCGUAGCUGGUCUGAGAGGAUGAUCAGCCACACUGGAACUGAGACACGGUCCAGACUCCUACGGGAGGCAGCAGUGGGGAAUAUUGGACAAUGGGCGCAAGCCUGAUCCAGCCAUACCGCGUGUGUGAAGAAGGCCUUCGGGUUGUAAAGCCCUUUUGUUGGGAAAGAAAAGCAGCAGGUUAAUACCCCGCUGUUCUGACGGUACCCAAAGAAUAAGCACCGGCUAACUUCGUG
Molecule: ribosomal RNA, 491 nt
Filed under: uncultured bacterium
Lineage: Bacteria
Description: partial 16S ribosomal RNA
Rfam family: Bacterial small subunit ribosomal RNA
Source: RNAcentral